UCCCCGGGGCCCGGGGCCCGAGCGCUGCUGAGGUGGCCCUUCGGUUCCAAGAGUGUCCUUUGCCGGCUAAACACGGCGUCUGGGCGGCGAUGGCCUGUCGGGUGGCGUGUUCUUAUCCUCCGACGCGUGCUCCUCGUAUGUCCAGUCUCCGGGCCUCUGAGCCUGGGCAGCCCCCCAGCUUGCAAGCGCUCCGUGGGCGCCCACGCAGGUGGCACCUGCGCAGGAAUUUGACAAGGAAGCCAAGUGAAGAAAGUUGAACCCGCAUGGAGAGAGGAGCCUUGGGGUUCCCUCUUCCCUCUGCUUGAUCCCAGUGAGAUGGGGUAACGUCACACGGCGGCUCUGCCUCCUACCCCGAGGCUCAUCUGACUGUGCGGACACAGAGGCCGGACCCCGAGGCCAUAGCUCUCUCAGCUCACCCCUGCACGGCUUUGAAGCCUUGGCCCGUGGCGUCGCCAAAGACACAGUCUGGACCAGCAGUCAGCAGUUGUUUUUGCUUCUGCUUCCUGUCCCGGGUGGCGCGUUGCAUCCAGCCAUGAGAUGUGGCCUGGAAAAACAAACCAAAAAACCAAAACCAAAGAGCCACGGCAGUUCAGCGCUAUCAUUCUUCCUCACAGUGAUGGUGUUUAACUUACGAGUAGUAAAAAAGAGAAACAUCUAUCAGUGGGGCGCACAUCUCACCAAAUAUCAAGCCGACCAAAAUUACGUGUUAGAAUCCCGGCUUCCCUUGAAGUCUGGGAGAGAUCUUGUAAGUUUCCCUCCUGGGCAUGGAAGAGAAAACGCUCUUUUUCCCAGGGAGAAGUGAAGGCCCCAGUGAAUGCAGCUUUGCCCCGGGCUCACCGUGGGCCAGGCAGGCGGCCAGCCAUCACGAAAGGCGCGCUGGAUGUGCCGAGUGCUGCAGAAGCAUGCAGCGAAGAGACAGACAGGGACAGAUCUGGAAGCUGCGCGUGGAACUUUGGUCCUUGUAAUUCUAAACCCUGUUUAUUCGAUUCUUAAAAUCCUCUUCUGAACAUGUGGUGAGUCAUGGCCUCUGAUCCUGGCUUGUCUGUUGGUAUUCUGUGAAGCUGCUUGAGUCCUGGAGGAGCAAAGGAAUAAGUGCCAUUUUGGUUUUAAUUAAAUUUUGAAAAAGAUUCAACCAUAUCCUGCUUCUUCCUUCCAUCAGGGAUCCUACAAUUAUUAAAUUAGGCUGGUGGUGUCUACUUUCAGAAUCAUGAAUUUUUACCAGCAGAUAAUUUCUCUUUUCUAUUGUUGGAUAUUUUCUUGGUGCAUUUUACGGCUAUCAUCUUUGGCAGAGCUAAUCUGGUUUUCUUCAGCCACAGUUCUGCUCGUUAAUCCAUUUAUGGAUUUUUACAUAGUUUCUCCUUCCUGGGAUGGUUGGGGAGUGUAUUACAUGGGAGGUUUUUUUUUUCCCAAAGCCAUUUAGCAGAGCUAGUUCCUCUUUUUUUUUUUUUUUUUUUUUUUUUUUUUUUCUGUUCAUAGGAUGUGUCUGAACCCCUCCUGCCUGCUGGCUUUUUGAAAAUUUAUUUCAGGUCCUGGCUGAGAUGACAUUCGAUGAACAUAUUCACACAAUGAACACAUUUCCUAAAAGGUUCUGAACCUAUGAGUCCUACAAAUUGGUGGUUGGAUUUGGAGGCUCCAUCAGAUUCAAAUUUUAUAUUUUUGCAAGAAAUGCCUUUUAGAUGGUUUUCUCUACCUCAGUAAAGAAUGACCAGGCAAUACUCUUUGAAAAUUGGAGACCAUUUGCAGCUGCUCUCUGUUGAGGAAAGUGAAUAAUAGGGUGCCCUCAAGGAAUUUCGAAGGUAUCACUCAACAGAAACUUUUGUGUCUGAAGAAAACUAGAUCAUUUUAUCAUGAGCUUAUAUGUAUUUCUUUAUAUUGAGAUAUAUAAUGAACUGACGAAUAAAAAUCUAGAGAGUCUGGAAGUUUCCCUUGCCCUUGACCAGGAACAAGCUGUGGACGCCUUUAAGAUCUGUGCCGAUGCAGGUACUGUUACCCAGAGAUAAAAAGUUGCAGCACAGAGAAUAUUUGUUUUGCUGGAGGUUUAUAGGAACGUUGUGACCUGGCCUGUGUGGACAGUUGCACGAAAAAAGGAUUCCUACACCAACAAGUUUGCAACAACCAACCACCCCCCUCCUUCACCUGAUCUUUAAAAAUGCUUUGCUGAAACCCUUGGAGGCGUUCAGGAUCUUUGGCACAUGAGUCGCCCAUCUCCUAGCGAGGCCCAGCAAUAAACCUUCCUCUGCGCCAAACUCUGACCUUGUGUUUGGCUUCAUUGUGCAUUCGAGAACAUGUUAACUUUUACUCCUCAGAACAACUCUGUGAGUUAGAUCUCUUUAGUAUUCCCAUUUUUAUAGGCAAGACAAUGGAUGCACAGAGAGGUUAAGCAAUUCGACCAAUGUCACACAGCCAAAAGGGGCAGAGCCACUAUUUUAAACCAGGUAGAAGAGGAAAGUGAGUGACUUUUCUAGAAGCUGAGAAACAUUCAGGGUAAAUGUGAAGGAGGAAUUUUUGUUUCGAAGAGGCAUCUGGAGUGCUGAAAGAGCCAGGAAGAUUGUGAAGCCAUUUUUUUUUUUUUAAAGUCUUAAGUUAAUGUGGCCUGACAGCAUUGCUUUAGAAGCAGUAGAGCAGCAAAUACCUUUCUCAUACUUAGCCCCAUUGGGCGCUGCACUUGAAAUGAGCUCCAAGAGAACAGGAGAGGCAGAUGCAUGUCUCAGAUUCCUGGCAUCAUCAGGCACUGGUCCAGGUUGCUACCACACCCACUUUCAUGUCUGUUUUAUAGCUGAGGAAAUGGAUUCAGAGAAACUAAGCAACGUUCCCGAAGUCCCACAGCGACAAAGUUGCAGAAAUGGGAUUCAGACUGCAGGUCUGAUAAAUUCCGAAGGCCAUGUUCUUUUUAGAAUACCGUAUUGCACCUCUCCAAAGAGAUAUACCAG
Molecule: long non-coding RNA, 2930 nt
Filed under: Sus scrofa (pig)
Lineage: Eukaryota; Metazoa; Chordata; Mammalia; Artiodactyla; Suidae
Description: lncRNA (ENSSSCG00060053395.1)
Source: RNAcentral